Molecule: non-coding RNA, 81 nt
Organism: Mycobacterium sp. MOTT36Y
Lineage: Bacteria; Bacillati; Actinomycetota; Actinomycetes; Mycobacteriales; Mycobacteriaceae
Source: Rfam
GGCAGGUUGCCCGAGCGGCCAAUGGGAGCGGACUGUAAAUCCGUCGCGAAAGCUUCACAGGUUCGAAUCCUGUACCUGCCA